This 459-nucleotide ribosomal RNA is filed under the name uncultured bacterium. RNAcentral describes it as "partial 16S ribosomal RNA". It matches the Rfam family "Bacterial small subunit ribosomal RNA", at positions 339 to 795 of the family's 1533-position model. The record is from RNAcentral.
CUACGGGUCGCUGCAGUGAGGAAUAUUGGUCAAUGGGCGCAAGCCUGAACCAGCCAUGCCGCGUGCAGGAAGAAUGCCCUAUGGGUUGUAAACUGCUUUUAUUUGGGAAUAAACCUCUUUACGUGUAGAGAGCUGAAGGUACCAAAUGAAUAAGCACCGGCUAACUCCGUGCCAGCAGCCGCGGUAAUACGGAGGGUGCAAGCGUUAUCCGGAAUCAUUGGGUUUAAAGGGUCCGCAGGCGGAUUUAUAAGUCAGUGGUGAAAUCCUAUCGCUUAACGAUAGAACUGCCAUUGAUACUGUAAGUCUUGAAUUCGGUCGGAGUGGGCGGAAUGUGUAGUGUAGCGGUGAAAUGCAUAGAUAUUACACAGAACACCGAUAGCGAAGGCAGCUCACUAGGCCUGAAUUGACGCUCAGGGACGAAAGCGUGGGGAUCAAACAGGAUUAGAUACCCGCGUAGUC